RNAcentral lists this ribosomal RNA (783 nucleotides) under uncultured archaeon. RNAcentral describes it as "bacterial SSU rRNA". It matches the Rfam family "Archaeal small subunit ribosomal RNA", at positions 68 to 835 of the family's 1478-position model. The record is from RNAcentral.
UACGCGCGAUUCGCCUUACGGCUCAGUAACACGUGGCUAACCUGCCCUUGGGACAAGAACAACCCCGGGAAACUGGGGCUAAUUCGUGAUAGGCGAAGAACUCUGGAAUGAGUCUUCACCCAAAAGACGCUUACACUAUGCUUGUAGACGCCGCCCAAGGAUGGGGCCGCGACCGAUCAGGUUGUUGGUGAGGUAAUGGCUCACCAAGCCUUUUACCGGUGCGGGCCGUGAGAGCGGGAGCCCGGAGAUGGGCACUGAGACAAGGGCCCAGGCCCUACGGGGCGCAGCAGUCGCGAAAACUUUGCAAUACACGAAAGUGUGACAGGGCUAUCCCGAGUGCCAUCCGCUGAGGAAGGCUUUUACCCAGUCUAGAACGCUGGGGGAAUAAGGAGAGGGCAAGUCUGGUGUCAGCCGCCGCGGUAAUACCAGCUCUCCGAGUGGUGUGGAUGUUUAUUGGGCCUAAAGCAUCCGUAGCUGGCUGAGUUAGUCCCUUGUUAAAUCCACCGAAUUAAUCGUUGGAUUGCGGGGGAUACUGCUCGGCUAGGGGACGAGAGAGGCAGACGGUAUUUCUGGGGUAGGGGUGAAAUCCUAUAAUCCCAGGAGGACCACCAGUGGCGAAGGCUGUCUGCUAAAACGCGCCCGACAGUGAUGGAUGAAAGCUGGGGGAGCGAACCGAUUACAUACCCGGGUAGUCCUCCUGAAAACGAUGCAGACUAGGUGUUUGUACAGCCACGUUCCGUUCUAUUGCGGCAGGCAAGAUUGUUAACUCGGCCCCGUGGGGAG